CCUACGGGUGGCAGCAGUGGGGAAUAUUGGACAAUGGGGUGAACCCUGAUCCAGCCAUGCCGCGUGUGUGAAGAAGGCCCUCGGGUUGUAAAGCACUUUCAGUGAGGAAGAACGCCUGGUGGUUAAUACCCAUCAGGAAAGACAUCACUCACAGAAGAAGCACCGGCUAACUCCGUGCCAGCAGCCGCGGUAAUACGGAGGGUGCGAGCGUUAAUCGGAAUUACUGGGCGUAAAGCGCGCGUAGGUGGCUUGAUAAGCCGGUUGUGAAAGCCCCGGGCUCAACCUGGGAACGGCAUCCGGAACUGUCAAGCUAGAGUGCAGGAGAGGAAGGUAGAAUUCCCGGUGUAGCGGUGAAAUGCGUAGAGAUCGGGAGGAAUACCAGUGGCGAAGGCGGCCUUCUGGACUGACACUGACACUGAGGUGCGAAAGCGUGGGUAGCAAACAGGAUUAGAUACCCGAGUAGUC
Molecule: ribosomal RNA, 465 nt
Filed under: Vreelandella stevensii
Lineage: Bacteria; Pseudomonadati; Pseudomonadota; Gammaproteobacteria; Oceanospirillales; Halomonadaceae
Description: partial 16S ribosomal RNA
Rfam family: Bacterial small subunit ribosomal RNA
Source: RNAcentral